GUGGGAAUCUGGGCCUCUAGAGGGGGAUAACUCGGGGAAACUCGGGCUAAUACCGCAUAAUCUCUAAGGAGGAAAGCGGGGGACCGAAAGGCCUCGCGCUGGGGGAUGAGCCUGCGUCCGAUUAGCUAGUUGGUGGGGUAAGGGCCUACCAAGGCGAUGAUCGGUAGCUGGUCUGAGAGGACGAUCAGCCACACUGGGACUGAGACACGGCCCAGACUCCUACGGGAGACAGCAGUGGGGAAUAUUGGACAAUGGGGGCAACCCUGAUCCAGCAAUGCCGCGUGGGUGUAGAAGGCUUUCGGGUUGUAAAGCCCUUUCAGUGGGGAAGAAAAGCGAUGUGUGAAUAGCACAUCGUGUUGACGUUACCUACAGAAGAAGCACCGGCUAACUCCGUGCCAGCAGCCGCGGUAAUACGGAGGGUGCGAGCGUUAAUCGGAAUUACUGGGCGUAAAGGGCGCGUAGGCGGUUUGGUAAGUUGGGUGUUAAAGCCCCGGGCUCAACCUGGGAAUGGCACUUGAUACUGCCUGGCUGGAGUAUGGUAGAGGGAGGCGGAAUUUCCGGUGUAGCGGUGAAAUGCGUAGAUAUCGGAAGGAACACCAGUGGCGAAGGCGGCCUCCUGGACCACUACUGACGCUGAGGUGCGAGAGCGUGGGGAGCGAACAGGAUUAGAUACCCUGGUAGUCCACGCCCUAAACGAUGAGAACUAGACGUUGGGAGGGAUAGCCUUUCAGUGUUGCAGCUAACGCGUUAAGUUCUCCGCCUGGGGAGUACGGCCGCAAGGUUGAAACUCAAAUGAAUUGACGGGGGCCCGCACAAGCGGUGGAGCAUGUGGUUUAAUUCGAUGCAACGCGAAGAACCUUACCUGGCCUUGACAUCCCCGGAACUUUGCUGAGAGGCGAAGGUGCCUUCGGGAGCCGGGAGACAGGUGCUGCAUGGCUGUCGUCAGCUCGUG
Molecule: ribosomal RNA, 952 nt
Filed under: uncultured Pseudomonadota bacterium
Lineage: Bacteria; Pseudomonadati; Pseudomonadota
Description: bacterial SSU rRNA
Rfam family: Bacterial small subunit ribosomal RNA
Source: RNAcentral